RNAcentral lists this ribosomal RNA (253 nucleotides) under uncultured bacterium. Its description in RNAcentral is "partial 16S ribosomal RNA". It matches the Rfam family "Bacterial small subunit ribosomal RNA", at positions 524 to 776 of the family's 1533-position model. The record is from RNAcentral.
UACAGAGGAGCCAAGCGUUGUCCGGAUUGACUGGGCGUAAAGCGCACGCAGGCGGUGGUGCGCGUGGGGGGUGAAAUCUGGCCGCUUAACGGCCAGGCGCCAUCCCAUACGGCACGACUGGAGGGCUGCAGAGGUCGAUGGAAUUGCCGGUGUAGUGGUGAAAUGCGUAGAGAUCGGCAGGAACACCCAGGGGGAAACCAGUCGACUGGGCAGCACCUGACGCUGAGGUGCGAGAGCGUGGGGAGCGAACCGG